CCCGUCGUAGUUUAACCUGGUAGAACCUUCGGCUGUAGCCCGAAAGGUCGGCGGUUCAAAUCCGCCCGACGGGA
This 74-nucleotide transfer RNA is filed under the name Candidatus Pacearchaeota archaeon. RNAcentral's name for it is "tRNA-Tyr". It matches the Rfam family "tRNA". From Rfam's summary of the family: Transfer RNA (tRNA) molecules are approximately 80 nucleotides in length. Their secondary structure includes four short double-helical elements and three loops (D, anti-codon, and T loops). Lineage: Archaea; Nanobdellati. The record is from RNAcentral.